CAUGCAAGUCGAACGGGAAGAGAUGAAGAGCUUGCUCUUUAUCGAAUCCAGUGGCAAACGGGUGAGUAACACGUAAACAACCUGCCUUCAGGAUGGGGACAACAGACGGAAACGACUGCUAAUACCGAAUACGUUCCACGGGCCGCAUGACCUGUGGAAGAAAGGGUAGCCUCUACCUGUAAGCUAUCGCCUGAAGAGGGGUUUGCGUCUGAUUAGGCAGUUGGUGAGGUAACGGCUCACCAAACCAACGAUCAGUAGCCGGUCUGAGAGGAUGAACGGCCACACUGGAACUGAGACACGGUCCAGACUCCUACGGGAGGCAGCAGUGGGGAAUCUUCCGCAAUGGACGAAAGUCUGACGGAGCAACGCCGCGUGAGUGAAGACGGCCUUCGGGUUGUAAAGCUCUGUGAUCCGGGACGAAAGAGCCUGAGGUAAAUAGCCUGAGGAAGUGAUGGUACCGGAAAAGCAAGCCACGGCUAACUACGUGCCAGCAGCCGCGGUAAUACGUAGGUGGCAAGCGUUGUCCGGAAUUAUUGGGCGUAAAGCGCGCGCAGGCGGCUUACUAAGUCCAUCUUAAAAGUGCGGGGCUUAACCCCGUGAUGGGAUGGAAACUGGAAAGCUGGAGUAUCGGAGAGGAAAGUGGAAUUCCUAGUGUAGCGGUGAAAUGCGUAGAGAUUAGGAAGAACACCGGUGGCGAAGGCGACUUUCUGGACGAAAACUGACGCUGAGGCGCGAAAGCGUGGGGAGCAAACAGGAUUAGAUACCCUGGUAGUCCACGCCGUAAACGAUGGAUACUAGGUGUAGGAGGUAUCGACCCCUUCUGUGCC
Molecule: ribosomal RNA, 827 nt
Filed under: uncultured bacterium
Lineage: Bacteria
Description: bacterial SSU rRNA
Rfam family: Bacterial small subunit ribosomal RNA
Source: RNAcentral